AUUUGACCUGAGUUCAGACGAGACUACCCGCCGAACUUAAGCAUA
Molecule: ribosomal RNA, 45 nt
Filed under: Tetraselmis marina
Lineage: Eukaryota; Viridiplantae; Chlorophyta; Chlorodendrophyceae; Chlorodendrales; Chlorodendraceae
Description: partial 28S ribosomal RNA
Source: RNAcentral